RNAcentral lists this ribosomal RNA (465 nucleotides) under uncultured bacterium. RNAcentral's name for it is "partial 16S ribosomal RNA". It matches the Rfam family "Bacterial small subunit ribosomal RNA", at positions 31 to 507 of the family's 1533-position model. The record is from RNAcentral.
GAACGCUGGCGGCGUGCUUAACACAUGCAAGUCGAACGGAAAGGCCCUGCUUUUGUGGGGUGCUCGAGUGGCGAACGGGUGAGUAACACGUGAGUAACCUGCCCUUGACUUUGGGAUAACUUCAGGAAACUGGGGCUAAUACCGGAUAGGAGCUCCUGCUGCAUGGUGGGGGUUGGAAAGUUUCGGCGGUUGGGGAUGGACUCGCGGCUUAUCAGCUUGUUGGUGGGGUAGUGGCUUACCAAGGCUUUGACGGGUAGCCGGCCUGAGAGGGUGACCGGCGACAUUGGGACUGAGAUACGGCCCAGACUCCUACGGGAGGCAGCAGUGGGGAAUAUUGCACAAUGGGCGGAAGCCUGAUGCAGCAACGCCGCGUGCGGGAUGACGGCCUUCGGGUUGUAAACCGCUUUCGCCUGUGACGAAGCGUGAGUGACGGUAAUGGGUAAAGAAGCACCGGCUAACUACGUG